AAAAAUCAUGGCAACUGGAACAGUCAGUCAGCUGGGUUUCGUGAUAUAGUUCUUGUUUUCAUGAUAUGUUGCAAUUCAUUUCUGUGAACUUGUUCUCGAAAUCAGGGACAAAAUAUCACAUCUGUUUCUGUCAUCAACAAACUCGUUACGAUUCUGAAUGCAAGAACAGAGUUCCUGUUUUUGUGAUAGUGUAAGUCCAUACGCGUGAUUUUGUGCUCGAUAACGGGAACAAAAUUCACGGCUAUGUGUAGCUGUCACUUUUAGUAACGCAUCGAUAAAGAAAAAAAAAACGGAUCAUUAGCAAACAGAAGUGCUCUGAGAACUUUCAUCUAGCAGAAGAUUCUAACUCCCACGCACGUCGUUGGCAAAAUCUUCUGGCAGACUCAUCAGAUCGCAGAAAGGAGCUCUGAGCUAAAAUUUCUUUUAAAUAACAAUCACCUAAGAUGAACAUUGAACAUUGUUUGCCUUAAUACGUUUUUGUAAAGAUUUACUGUGAAAGCUAUUGAACCAUUGAUCUGAAUAAUACUGUGAAAAUGUUUAAAAUUGAACUUCCCGUGCGUGGCAGUAUACUGUGAUCAACCACCGCUUUUCCCUAGAGACAAUCCAUCAAAGACUCAGGAGGAGCAGCCUUUGCACCUGCUUUAUGACUUCUAGGAACGGAUGAAGCCAGUAUGCCCUAUGUUUCGGCGAUCGAGGGAUUAAAAUCGUUUGUGAACACAUUUGGCUCCUUGAUGCAAGACUAUUAUGAAGAUAUUAUGGCC
Molecule: long non-coding RNA, 761 nt
Organism: Aedes albopictus (Asian tiger mosquito)
Lineage: Eukaryota; Metazoa; Arthropoda; Insecta; Diptera; Culicidae
Exons: 2
Source: RefSeq, a predicted model, not a curated record